Molecule: ribosomal RNA, 556 nt
Filed under: Phoma sp. NRRL 62976
Lineage: Eukaryota; Fungi; Ascomycota; Dothideomycetes; Pleosporales; Didymellaceae
Description: eukaryotic LSU rRNA
Rfam family: Eukaryotic large subunit ribosomal RNA
Source: RNAcentral
UUGACCUCGGAUCAGGUAGGGAUACCCGCUGAACUUAAGCAUAUCAAUAAGCGGAGGAAAAGAAACCAACAGGGAUUGCCCUAGUAACGGCGAGUGAAGCGGCAACAGCUCAAAUUUGAAAUCUGGCGUCUUUGGCGUCCGAGUUGUAAUUUGCAGAGGGCGCUUUGGCAUUGGCAGCGGUCCAAGUUCCUUGGAACAGGACGUCACAGAGGGUGAGAAUCCCGUACGUGGUCGCUAGCCUUUACCGUGUAAAGCCCCUUCGACGAGUCGAGUUGUUUGGGAAUGCAGCUCUAAAUGGGAGGUAAAUUUCUUCUAAAGCUAAAUACUGGCCAGAGACCGAUAGCGCACAAGUAGAGUGAUCGAAAGAUGAAAAGCACUUUGGAAAGAGAGUUAAAAAGCACGUGAAAUUGUUGAAAGGGAAGCGCUUGCAGCCAGACUUGCCUGUAGUUGCUCAUCCGGGUUUUUACCCGGUGCACUCUUCUACGGGCAGGCCAGCAUCAGUUUGGGCGGUUGGAUAAAGGUCUCUGUCAUGUACCUCCUCUCGGGGAGAACUUAU